This 72-nucleotide transfer RNA is filed under the name Camelus bactrianus (Bactrian camel). It matches the Rfam family "tRNA". From Rfam's summary of the family: Transfer RNA (tRNA) molecules are approximately 80 nucleotides in length. Lineage: Eukaryota; Metazoa; Chordata; Mammalia; Artiodactyla; Camelidae. RNAcentral also lists the same sequence under 2 other names. The record is from Rfam by way of RNAcentral.
GUGGGUGUAGCUCAGUGGUAGAGCACAUGCUUAGCAUGCACAAGGUCCUGGGUACAAUCCCCAGUACCUUCA